Long non-coding RNA from Acanthochromis polyacanthus (spiny chromis), 961 nucleotides. RefSeq lists it as uncharacterized. The transcript has 3 exons. NCBI's taxonomy places the organism in Eukaryota, Metazoa, Chordata, Actinopteri, Pomacentridae. The record is from RefSeq and is a predicted model, not a curated record.
AGCAGUAGUUGGUGUAUUACCACAAGUAGUAGCAUUACUAUUAAUACCACCAAUACUACCACUAGUAUUCUCUUGUGAGAUCUGAUAAGGUAAAGUGAAAUAUUGCAUUAACAACAAUACUCCCUCCUGCAUUGAAACAACAAAAGUACCAAAGAACAGAACUUUUGAAAAAUAGUGUUCCUUUUUUUCUUUUUGUCUGUUUAUAUAUUAACUUCCUCAAGGGUGGGGAAAAUGUUGCUGUGGCCCAUUACAUGGUGAGCCAGAGAGGAACAGGCCGACAUUCCCACAUCACUGGACGCAGUGUACAUAAUCAAAGAAUUGAAAGAUUAUGGCGAGAUGUGUAUGGAAAUGUCCUUGACUUGUUCCACACACUAUUUCUCAAUUUGGAAGUGGAAGGGUUUCUAAACCCUGAAAAUGAACUGGAGUUAUUCACUCUCCACUGGACCUACGUCCCAGAGCUGCAGCAGCAUCUUCAGGCAUUCAAGGAAGCCUGGAAUCACCAUAGUUUGAGGACAGAGAGAGGGCAAUCCCCCAUGCAACUGUGGCUUAGUCAGCCACGUGAGGGAAAUGCUGCUGAUCCAGUUGAGGUUGCUGCUGAUUAUGGGAUAGACUGGACAGGACCUCACACCCCAUACCCAGAAGGCGUCACUGUACCUGAUGCACAGCUACCCCAACAGCUUACACAGGCUGAAGUUACAUCAUUGCCUGAUCCGGCCGUCCCUUUUUCUGCUGCACUAUGGGCAUACAUGGAUACAGUGUAUAUUCUUAAGGACAUUUUUCAACAAACCUAGACAUAUCACAACUCACCUUAACAGAAUCAGAAUGAAACGAACAAGACUCAAAAGAAUGCUGCAAAUUUUUGUUGCAUAAUUUUAUGACCAGUUGUGAAUUUCAAAUAAAUGCCUUUGAAAACAACAAUGUACAAAGACACAGCAAAGGGAUAUAAAACUGCUUUUAUUGC